This 238-nucleotide ribosomal RNA is filed under the name uncultured bacterium. RNAcentral describes it as "partial 16S ribosomal RNA". It matches the Rfam family "Bacterial small subunit ribosomal RNA", at positions 109 to 334 of the family's 1533-position model. The record is from RNAcentral.
AGUAACGCGUAGAUAAUCUACCCUCAUGUUUGGGAUAACCCUUCGAAAGGGGGACUAAUACCGGAUAUAUUCAUACCUGUCGGGGUAUGGAGGAAAGGUGGCCUCUAUUUAUAAGCUAUCGCAUGGGGAGGAGUCUGCGUACCAUUAGCUAGUUGGUGGGGUAAUGGCCUACCAAGGCAACGAUGGUUAGCGGGUCUGAGAGGAUGAUCCGUCACACUGGCACUGAAAUACGGGCCAG